Long non-coding RNA from Crotalus tigris (Tiger rattlesnake), 2420 nucleotides. RefSeq lists it as uncharacterized. The transcript has 2 exons. NCBI's taxonomy places the organism in Eukaryota, Metazoa, Chordata, Lepidosauria, Squamata, Viperidae. The record is from RefSeq and is a predicted model, not a curated record.
AAGUGUUUCCAAGAGGGCUUCAGAUAAACUGUGGUUGAAGAGAAACACACUUUCCAAACUGUGUCAAGGGCUCAUAUGCACAUGACUUGUGCUUACUGAUCCGUACUGAAAUUUCAAUCUGAAACUUUUUGAGAGCAUGUGCCAAAGCAUCACAUAUCCUCCCUCCAGUUAAGCCCUCGGUGGGAAGUCUCGCUGCUUCAUGACCACAGAUGGGAAGGCAAUCCACUCCCUCGCUUAAACAGACUCUCCCAGCUCAACUCAGAGGAAUCUCUCCGAGCAGCUGGAGCUGGCAAUGACUCGGGCAAUAUUAGCACACAGCUUCAGCCUGGUAAUCUCAUCACCAGCCUCAUUGGAUGAGGUUAAUAUUGCUAUGUGCGGCAUUCAGUGCUGCCUUCUUUUGGGAGAAAGGAAAUAGGGCCAUGCCCUCGGGCGCUCCAUGUCCUUGUGCAAACAGGAAGAAGCUUCUUGGCCUUGGAAGCUCCUGGAAAUUUCGUGGAGAGCCAAGAUAUUUCUCUUCAGAAAUCUCUCUUCAGGUACCUCCCACGCCACACCAUGAGCCGUGGUGCUCUCAGCUGCCGAAACACAGUCAGAAAUAAGGGCUGUGAGACAUCUACACCAGAACUGCAUGCCUUGAAAACUUGAAAAUGGUGGACUUUGACUCCCUUCUUCCACGGGAGGACAGCAUUUGGACAAGGCACCAGCGGAAAAAAUAUUCCUCUGUCUUGACUUCUACUGGACUAAGACAGCAUUCCUGAACAAUCUGGGCGCCCUCCAGAAAUACAGGUAGUCCUCGACUUACAAUCAUUUGUUUAAUGACCAUUUGAAGUUACAAUGGCACUGAAAAAAGUGACUGGCAAUUAGUCCUCACAUUUACAGCCAUUGAAGCAUCUCCAAGGUGACGUGAUCAAUAUUCUGGCUUGGCAAUAGGCAUGUAUUUGCGACAAUUGCAGUGUUCCAGGGUGAUGUGAAUGCCACUUGGGAUCUUUCCAGCUGGCUUCCAACAAGCAAACUCAACGGGAGAUGUUGGAUUCAUUUAAUGACUGAUUCGCUUGAAAACUGCAAUGUUUCACUUAACAACCAUGGUCCAAAAGGACAUAAAAUCACUUAACUACUUAAUGGUUAAUGACAGAAAUUAUGGCUGUAAGUCAAAGACUGCCUGCAUAGAACCCAACUUCCAGAAUCCCCAGCCAGCAUGGCCAUGGGUGAUGAUUUUGGGAGUCCACAUCUAUAAACGUUGAAGGUAUUCAUGAUAGAAAAAACUGGACUAAAGUUUCACUCUGUUUUCUGGAUCAUGUUCCCAUCAGCUUCGUUCUCUGGAACACGAUGGCAACCUUGUUCCACACCAAGACCGGAGGCCAUGUCUGUGAGUGACUGACGUAUCUCUCUGGAAACUCCUCCCAUACCACACCACAAGUUGUGGUGCUGUCAGAUGCUGGUGCAAAGAAAAGGAGCUGUGAGAGAUUCACACCAAAAUUACAUGGUCAUUAUAAGAUUACAAACAUGAAUUCUUAGAACCUCCGUGAAUCAAUAUGGUAUUCUUUGCUUUGGGGACUGGGGGCUUAUUUAUUUCAGGGGUGGACCACAUCUGCCCGUGGGCCAGCAGUUGCCAACCCUCACUCUAAAGCAGAGUUUCUCAACCUUGGCAACUUGAAGAUGUGUGGACUUCAAUUCCCCAAAUUCUGCAACCAGCAUGAAGUCUACACAUCUUCAAGUUGUCAAGAAUAAGAAAUAUUGUUCUCUAGAGCAUGUGGUCAUUCCCAUCAGCAUUCAACCAGAGAGUGAGGUUGACUCCUGACACUGGAAGACAUGCAGUGAUAAGAUAGCCCAAUUUAUGUAGCCUUAACCCACUUGUUUGUGUAUCGGUAAACUAUUUGUUAUCCAUAUAUUGAAGUAUUACUUAUUGUUUUAGCACAUAGAAAUAGUUAUUGUGCCUUGUUAUCUAUUGGUAAGAAGUUGAAGUGCCUUGUUAAGCAGAAAUGACCCCAAUUUGAACAGGCCAUUCACCUUCCUGCUCAGGAAUGCCUGACCAUUAAGGUGAUGGGUAAGACCCUGGUAGCCAGUUGCUUAGGAAAGUUUCAAGUAAGGACAAAUGGUAUUGAUAAACGUCUUAGCCUACCUUGUGACCUUUAGCUGAACUGUGGUUAUUGGUAAGACGAGGCAAGUCUUAGCCUACUUUGUAAAGCUUGUACUUUGUAACCUUUAGCUGAACUGUGAACUUCGACUGCUGAAGAUGUAUGCAAGAUGUUACUCUUAAUGACUGCUUUCUAAUGAUGUGUGUAUCCCGUGGUUGGUUCAUGGCAACGUUUGCUUUUCAAAAAUUGUGCAAAAGGGGGAUCUAGUGCAAGCCAAGUUGUGCCUAUUUGAAACUUGCUUUGGGGUAAUCUUUUUGUUGGCAAAUAAAAGUUUUCCUUUCCUCUCCA